GUGAUUGCUUGAGUAGUACAUACACUAAAAUUAGAACAACAGAGAGGCAAUUAGGAUAGCACCUGAGCAAGAAUGAUGUGCAAAUUCAUGAAGUAUUCUGUAUUUUU
RNAcentral lists this small nuclear RNA (107 nucleotides) under Callithrix jacchus (white-tufted-ear marmoset). Lineage: Eukaryota; Metazoa; Chordata; Mammalia; Primates; Cebidae. The record is from RNAcentral.